RNAcentral lists this ribosomal RNA (1484 nucleotides) under metagenome. RNAcentral's name for it is "bacterial SSU rRNA". It matches the Rfam family "Bacterial small subunit ribosomal RNA". The record is from RNAcentral.
AGAGUUUGAUCAUGGCUCAGAUUGAACGCUGGCGGAAUGCUUUACACAUGCAAGUCGAACGGCAGCACGGACUUCGGUCUGGUGGCGAGUGGCGAACGGGUGAGUAAUAUAUCGGAACGUAUCCAAUAAUGGGGGAUAACUAAUCGAAAGGUUGGCUAAUACCGCAUACGCCCUACGGGGGAAAGCUAGGGACCUUCGGGCCUGGCGUUAAUGGAGCGGCCGAUAUCUGAUUAGCUAGUUGGUGAGGUAAGAGCUCACCAAGGCAACGAUCAGUAGCUGGUCUGAGGGACGACCAGCCACACUGGAACUGAGACACGGUCCAGACUCCUACGGGAGGCAGCAGUGGGGAAUUUUGGACAAUGGGCGCAAGCCUGAUCCAGCCAUUCCGCGUGAGUGAAGAAGGCCUUCGGGUUGUAAAGCUCUUUCGCAAGGGAAGAAAACUUAGUUACUAAUAUUAACUGAGGUUGACGGUACCUUGAUAAGAAGCACCGGCUAACUACGUGCCAGCAGCCGCGGUAAUACGUAGGGUGCGAGCGUUAAUCGGAAUUACUGGGCGUAAAGCGUGCGCAGGCUGUUUUGUAAGUCAGAUGUGAAAUCCCCGAGCUCAACUUGGGAACUGCGUUUGAAACUACAAGACUAGAAUAUGUCAGAGGGGGGUAGAAUUCCACGUGUAGCAGUGAAAUGCGUAGAGAUGUGGAGGAAUAUCAAUGGCGAAGGCAGCCCCCUGGGAUAAUAUUGACGCUCAUGCACGAAAGCGUGGGGAGCAAACAGGAUUAGAUUCCCUGGUAGUCCACGCCCUAAACGAUGUCUACUAGUUGUUGGUGGAGUAAAAUCCAUGAGUAACGCAGCUAACGCGUGAAGUAGACCGCCUGGUGAGUACGGUCGCAAGAUUAAAACUCAAAUGAAUUGACGGGGGCCCGCACAAGCGGUGGAUUAUGUGGAUUAAUUCGAUGCAACGCGAAAAACCUUACCUGGCCUUGACAUGUAGCGAAUUUACCAGAGAUGGUUUAGUGCUCGAAAGAGAACGGUAACACAGGUGCUGCAUGGCUGUCGUCAGCUCGUGUCGUGAGAUGUUGGGUUAAGUCCCGCAACGAGCGCAACCCUUGCCAAUAAUUGCCAUCAUUUAGUUGGGCACUUUAUUGGACUGCCGAUGACAAAUCGGAGGAAGGUGGGGAUGACGUCAAGUCCUCAUGGCCCUUAUGGCCAGGGCUUCACACGUAAUACAAUGGUCGGUACAGAGGGUUGCCAAGCCGUAAGGUGGAGCCAAUCCCAGAAAGCCGAUCGUAGUCCGGAUUGAGGUCUGCAACUCGACCUCAUGAAGUCGGAAUCGCUAGUAAUCGCGGAUCAGCAUGUCGCGGUGAAUACGUUCCCGGGCCUUGUACACACCGCCCGUCACACCAUGGGAGUGGGUUUUACCAGAAGUAGGUAGUCUAACCGCAAGGAGGACGCUUACCACGGUAGUAUUCAUGACUGGGGUGAAGUCG